Molecule: long non-coding RNA, 360 nt
Filed under: Sorghum bicolor (sorghum)
Lineage: Eukaryota; Viridiplantae; Streptophyta; Magnoliopsida; Poales; Poaceae
Description: long non-coding RNA (SBIC_LNC017371)
Source: RNAcentral
GCUUCUUAGUGAUUGCACUGAUAUCUUCUUCUUGUUGAUCUUGAGAAUUGAAUGCAUCUUGAAUGGCUUGACGAUUUCUUUUAUAAUUAUCCCUCCGCUCUAGCCAGCUCAAUAAUACAUCCAUCUUAGUUGAUAGUGCACACAACUCCUCUAGAACUUCUUCACUUUUAUGGCAUGUCUGGGUGUUGAAUGUCUAAUUCUGAUUUUCUUCCAUCUUUGCCAUAAUAGCUUCAGCUCUUCCAGAGGUGAGUGACAUAAAUGAUCCUUCAGCAGUGGCAUCCAAUUGCUCACAUGACCUUUGAGUUAGUCCAUAAUAGAAUGUCUGCAUGAGCAACCACUUCUUCAUUCCAUGAUGCGGGC